This 73-nucleotide transfer RNA is filed under the name Bombyx mori (domestic silkworm). It matches the Rfam family "tRNA". From Rfam's summary of the family: Transfer RNA (tRNA) molecules are approximately 80 nucleotides in length. Their secondary structure includes four short double-helical elements and three loops (D, anti-codon, and T loops). Lineage: Eukaryota; Metazoa; Arthropoda; Insecta; Lepidoptera; Bombycidae. The record is from Rfam by way of RNAcentral.
GACUCGUUGGCGCAAUAGAUAGCGUUCUUGUUUGAUGCGCUGAGGGUCGUGGGUUCGAUUCCCACAUCGGACA